GUCAAUAUCAUAAAAAGGGACCACAUAAUAUGACUAAAUGGCAUUAAGAUUUUUAAAUAGAAUGUAUGACCAAAGUAAUAUCCUUUAAAAGCUGGAUAUAUUACUUAAAUUUCCUAUGAUAAAAAUUUCUUGAUUUUUCUCCCCGGAUGAGGAAAUUCAUAAUACAUCUAAUCAUAGAAGGAAAGAAUUGUUGGGAGUUAGAAAGGAUAUUCCAGAAUAAGGGACAUGACAGGAUAAAAACACAUAGUGUGUGUGGCACAGUGAAGAAUCUGCAGAAACCAUGAGUAAUGUGAGGAGAGAACAAAAAGGAGAAUGGAAUCUCAACAAAAGCAAGUGAUAUUUAAGAUGUGAGAAGAAUGUCUCCAGUAUUUUGAUUGGUAUUGCAUUGAAUCUAUAAAUUGCUUUUGGGAGAAUGGACAAUUUGAUGAUAUUGAUUCUUCCAAUCCAUGAGCAUGGAAGAUUUUUCCAUUUUUUGGUAUCCCAGUGGAAAGAACGGAGCCAUCAAAGAAGGAGAACUCCAGGUUCUUGGAGGAGUACAUAAGCUAUAAUAUAAAGUGCAAUGAAUGCCAGAUAAGUUCCUCCUGGCUCUGAUAUUCUUUCUUCUGCCUUCAACAUUAUGCUGAGUGAAAUGGACUUCAAUGCUUCUAGUGGAUUCCUCAGCAGAAACCCCACAUGCAGAGGAAGAGUGGGCCAGUAUACACGAAGUGCUGAAGGAAAAAAUAAAAUAUUUGCCAAACAGAAAUACUUUAUACAAUGAAGUUGUUCAGAAAUUAAGGAGAGAUGCUUUUCCAGAUAAACAAAUGCUGAUUGAAUUCAUCACUAUCAGACUCAUCUUACAAUGCUACGGGAUUUGUUCAAACAGAAAGAAAAGAAUGCUAAUUAGUAAAAUAAAAUCAUAUGAAAGUAUCAAACCCAUUUAUAAAAUCAAGCACACAGAAAAAUUCAUGAUAAUCUCUAUGGUGAUGUGUAAGUCACUUCCGUCUUUAAUAUAAAUAUUUAAAGAAAAAGCUAUUCAAAUAACAAAAUUAAAAUAAUUUCUUAAAGGGUACACCAUAUAAAAUGUAAAUUAUGGAAAAAGAAGCAUAAAAUGGAAGGAGUAAAAUGAUUUUAUUUUUAAUAUGACAAAAUUAAAUUGUUAUCAGCUUAAGAUAGCCUGUUAUAAUGGUAAAAGAUCUUAUGUAAAUCUCAUGGUAAUCACACAGAGAAAACCUAUAGUAGACACACAAAAGGAAAAAACAUAAGAAAUCAAAGUGUAUCACUGUAGUAAACUACCUAAUGACAAAGAAAGGCAUCAAGAAAGGAAGAUAGAAUCUACAUAGCAACCAGAAGACAAUUAGCGAAAUGGCAACACUACCUCUUCAACCAUCAAUAAUCACAUUAAACGUAAAUUAAUUAAAUUGUCCAAUUAAAGGAAAUACAGAGCCUAAAAAGAAAACAAGCACAGGACUCAAUUAAGUGUUCCAUUUAUGAAACUGGACUUAACUUUCUGGAUGCACAUAGGUUGAAAAGAAAGGAUGGACAUGAAUAUUUCAUUCAAAUGACUUUAAGUGUAAAUAUUCACAGUAGACAAAGAAUGCCAUAAUUUAAUGAUAAAGGGAUCAAUUAAUCAAGAACAUAACAAUUACAAAGGAACAUCUACAUGUAUAAAGCAAAUAUUAAAGGACACCAAGGGAAAAACAGCAGUAUAAUAAUGUUAGAAAAACCUCAUUAUCUCUUUUUUAUCAAUGGUAGAUCAAAUAGGCAGAAAAAUACAAGGAAAUACUAGAUUUCAAUUGAAAUUUUGACCAAAUCAUCCUAACAGAUGUCUUUGGAACAUUCUAUCCACCAUUGAUAGAAUGCACAUUUUUUUUCUUCUCCAUUAUAGACCACAAAACAAGUUUUAGAAAGUUUAAGUAUCAAAAUUCAUCUAGUUGAAUUUUGGAUCACAACGAUCUGAAAAUACAAAUCAG
Non-coding RNA from Oryctolagus cuniculus (rabbit), 1949 nucleotides. NCBI's taxonomy places the organism in Eukaryota, Metazoa, Chordata, Mammalia, Lagomorpha, Leporidae. The record is from RefSeq and is a predicted model, not a curated record.